AAAAAAGAGAGAAUGAAAAGGCUUUCAGAAAUGACCACUUACACAUUAAAUGACCAUAUCAGUUAUUUAAAAGGUAACCAUGACACCCCACACGAUACAAUAUCCCAUCAUGCUAAGUGGUCAUAACUUGGUAUUUAAAUAAUAAAGUAUCACUGGUAACAAAGAGCACUACAAAUUAUAAUGACCUGUUUUUUAUUACAUGCCCCCUCACAGAAUGAAAGUCUGUAACAAGUUCCACAGGUUUGGCAUUUGAACCCGGCAGACUAUUCAUUAUCAUGUUUGGAGCUACUGGGCUAGUUUGCUGUAGAGUUCACAGAGUUAAUCUAAUAACCAGAUCUGGUGGAACUUUCAACGUAACGGAGAUGUGUGGUGAGUGAACCUGCAAAGAUGUAAAAUUAAAGCAUAAAUUCUCCUAUUCAAACUGCAAGUUUACUUGGUCUAACUUUAUCUAGACUAACAACUCAAUAGUCAACUCACCAAAAGUUGAGUGAUUUCUGCCUUAAUUCAAACAAAUUAUGAUUGAGUGGAUUUGAGUUUUAAAUCCUAAUUAUAAAAAUGAAUAGGGCACUGAAUGCUGAUACUGAGCCUUUCUUAGUUUUAUCUAUAUAAUAAUGAGAUAAAAUAUCAGGCAUCCCAAUACACCCAAUUCUGGGGUCCUGUCUCAUCAUCCUGAUUUUGUUCCCUGGUAUCCCAGCUAUUGUGAGCGUUCCUUGUGACACAAGUUGGUUCACAAGUGAUGCACUCUCAAGACCCACCCACAUGUCCAGAUCAGAUACUUCACAAUGUACCAAUGUAGGGAGCUAUAAAAUAUAUGAAACCAACAAUAGCAACAUAAUGAAUGGUAAAAAUAACACUUAUAAUACUAAUUGAUUGUGUUAAUGGACACACCAGGUUAGGAGGGAGUGAGAGGAAGGGAGCUGUACACAGGUACAUUAACCAACCUAGAGAAAGUAUUUUAAAAUGGAAGAGGUGGAAAAGUGGAGGCAGGGUUAACCUGCAAAAGGUUGCACAAAAUUCAUUAAUUAAAAAAAAGAAAAGCAAUCAAAAUUAGGCAAGAAAAAAAAAUAUAUGUGAUUAUUUUGGCCAAAAACCACAAAAUGCAAAAAGAUUGUAUGGUGUCUAGCGUGUGCCUUUGAACUUGGAAUUUAGAGACUCCAUAAAGUAUCAAAAAAGUCAGACAAUGAAUUGACAAAACAAUGCGUUAAGGAGCAAAGUCUACACUCAGUUAGAUGGUUGAUGUGGAAAUAGAAUGCUAGCUUGCCUUUGUUGGUUUGUCUUCGAAACGGAUGCAUUUUAACAGCUAUAACAUAUAGGAAGUCGAACAGGAUACCUAUACCAUGAUGCUUUAAACACUCUAUCGGUAGUCUACAUCAAACAAUUCUAUUUGGACAGCAUGAUAAUACGAUACAGCUAUAUCAAAAAUUCCCUUUAAACCUGACUUGGAGUGGGACAUAAUUUAAAUAAUUUAAUUUUAAGAAUUUAUAAAGCAAAAAAUAGGACAUAUGAAAUCUACCGUAUACAUUGUUUGCUUUGUUUUCUCUCAUAUUUUUUUUUUAAACAAUAACCAACAUAGAACAACCAAAUAGAUUAAAACACAAAAAGAAAAUAUUAAUAUUUAAAAAUUUGCAACUCUGAUA
This 1637-nucleotide long non-coding RNA is filed under the name Pelobates cultripes (western spadefoot toad). The record is from RNAcentral. Lineage: Eukaryota; Metazoa; Chordata; Amphibia; Anura; Pelobatidae.